Molecule: ribosomal RNA, 425 nt
Filed under: uncultured bacterium
Lineage: Bacteria
Description: bacterial SSU rRNA
Rfam family: Bacterial small subunit ribosomal RNA
Source: RNAcentral
GGGGAAUUUUGGACAAUGGACGCAAGUCUGAUCCAGCAAUGCCGCGUGCAGGACGAAGGCCUUCGGGUUGUAAACUGCUUUUGUACAGAACGAAAGGGCUCUGGUUAAUACCUGGGGCAGAUGACGGUACUGUAAGAAUAAGCACCGGCUAACUACGUGCCAGCAGCCGCGGUAAUACGUAGGGUGCGAGCGUUAAUCGGAAUUACUGGGCGUAAAGCGUGCGCAGGCGGUUUUGUAAGACCGAUGUGAAAUCCCCGGGCUCAACCUGGGAACUGCAUUGGUGACUGCAAGGCUGGAGUGCGGCAGAGGGGGAUGGAAUUCCGCGUGUAGCAGUGAAAUGCGUAGAUAUGCGGAGGAACACCGAUGGCGAAGGCAAUCCCCUGGGCCUGCACUGACGCUCAUGCACGAAAGCGUGGGGAGCAAAC